UACGUAGGUGGCGAGCGUUGUCCGGAUUUAUUGGGCGUAAAGCGCGCGCAGGUGGUGCGGUAAGUCUGUCGUGAAAUCUCCCGGCUCAACUGGGAGGGUGCGGUGGAGACUGCCGGACUGGAGGCACUCAAAGGCCGGUGGAAUUCCCGGUGUAGUGGUGAAAUGCGUAGAGAUCGGGAGGAACACCAGUGGCGAAGGCGGCCGGCUGGGGGUGACCUGACGCUGAGGCGCGAAAGCGUGGGGAGCGAACCGG
RNAcentral lists this ribosomal RNA (253 nucleotides) under uncultured bacterium. RNAcentral describes it as "partial 16S ribosomal RNA". It matches the Rfam family "Bacterial small subunit ribosomal RNA", at positions 524 to 776 of the family's 1533-position model. The record is from RNAcentral.